CAUAGGAAUACAUGAAAAAACUAAGUUACUCCUCUUAAUUUGGCUCAAAUUUAAAGACUGUAAAUCUUUGCUUUACAUGAUGAGUCUCAACUUCCUUCUGCUUUUAGUAAUAUUCUUAGUAUUGCCCACUUUUUCAGCUCAAGCUAUCCCAAAAUGCUGUCUGCAAUACUCCAGAACUAGGUUUCAUCGAGGUUCACUGAAGAGUUACUACAUACAGGAUUCAUCGUUAUGUACCCAACCCGCAGUGAUAUUUACCACAAUCAAAGGCAAGAGAAUCUGUGUUAAUCCCAGCAAGGUAUGGACAAAGACCAGCAUGGCCUACUUGGAUGGAAAGAACUGGUGGCAAAGACAUACUAGUCUAAAGAAGCAUCAGGAAGAUUCGUCACACUGAUUCCUCUGUUGAAACAAAGAUUUUACCCCAUUUUCUUUGCUGUUUGGUUCCAAUAAGUAUCUACUUGUUGUCACAUUCUGUCAGAAUUUAAACAUCUUUUGAAUCUGACUUAAUUAUUUUUUUGUUUUUUUGUGACUCAUGACAAUCAUCUAAACAUUAAUCUCUCCAUGACUGGCCAUGGAUUAAUAUGCAAAUAAAGAUGAUCACAGUA
Cyprinodon tularosa is the source of this 602-nucleotide long non-coding RNA. RefSeq lists it as uncharacterized. The record is from RefSeq and is a predicted model, not a curated record. Lineage: Eukaryota; Metazoa; Chordata; Actinopteri; Cyprinodontiformes; Cyprinodontidae. The transcript has 3 exons.